RNA transcript from Panicum hallii, 1888 nucleotides. It is a transcript of the gene named cysteine desulfurase, mitochondrial-like, with no coding region annotated. The transcript is spliced from 2 exons. The record is from RefSeq and is a predicted model, not a curated record. Lineage: Eukaryota; Viridiplantae; Streptophyta; Magnoliopsida; Poales; Poaceae.
CCAGCUCGUGCUCCGACUGCGCCCACGUCACCCCUCGCCGAAACGGCAGCCCCGCGGCGGCGCCCCCAAAUUCCAACCCUCCCCUGAACCCUACCUCCUCCCUCCCCACCCCAAUCCACCCCACGCCAUGGCCCUUUCCCGCCGCCUCCUCCCGCUCUUCCUCCGCGGCGGCGCCCCCGCCUUCCGCGCCCUCUCCACGGCUGCCGCGCCCGCAGCGGCGGCGGCCUCCGUGGAGGAGAAGGAAUCCAUCACUGUGAAGGGCGUGCGCAUCUCGGGCCGCCCGUUGUACAUGGACAUGCAGGCGACGACCCCCGUGGACCCGCGGGUGCUCGACGCCAUGCUCCCCUUCUACCUCUCGCGCUAUGGGAACCCGCACUCCCGCACGCACCUCUACGGCUGGGAGUCCGACUCCGCCGUCGAGGCCGCGCGCGCCCGAGUCGCCUCCCUUGUCGGCGCCGACCCGCGCGAGAUCUUCUUCACCUCGGGCGCCACCGAGUGCAACAACAUCGCCGUCAAGGGCGUCAUGCGCUUCUACCGCGACCGCCGCCGCCACGUCAUCACCACGCAGACCGAGCACAAGUGCGUGCUCGACUCCUGCCGCUACCUGCAGCAGGAGGGAUUCGAGGUCACCUACCUCCCCGUGCGCAGCGACGGGCUCGUCGACCUCGCGCAGCUCGAGGACGCCAUCCGCCCCGACACCGGCCUCGUCUCCGUCAUGGCCGUCAACAACGAGAUCGGCGUCGUGCAGCCGCUCGAGGAGAUUGGGCGCAUAUGCAAAGAGAAAGGCGUGCCGUUCCACACUGACGCCGCGCAGGCGCUGGGGAAGAUCCCGAUUGAUGUGAACAGGAUGGGGAUUGGGCUCAUGUCCCUCUCCGGGCACAAGAUUUAUGGCCCCAAGGGCGUAGGGGCGCUCUACCUUCGCCGGCGUCCGCGUAUCAGGGUGGAGCCGCAGAUGAGUGGUGGUGGGCAGGAGCGUGGCAUCCGCAGUGGCACCGUGCCCACACCACUUGUUGUUGGAUUUGGUGCUGCCUGUGAGAUUGCGGCUCAAGAGAUGGAUUAUGACCAUAGGCGAGUCAGUGCUCUGCAGCAGAGGCUGCUUGAUGGCAUUCUUGCGCAGGUCGAUGAGGUUGUCAUCAAUGGAAGCAUGGAACACCGUUACCCAGGCAACCUGAACUUGUCAUUUGCAUAUGUGGAGGGAGAGAGCUUGCUGAUGGGGCUGAAAGAGGUGGCUGUGUCGAGCGGUAGUGCCUGCACCAGUGCCAGCUUGGAACCCUCAUACGUGCUGCGGGCACUUGGGGUGGAGGAGGACAUGGCGCACACCUCUAUUCGCUUUGGCAUUGGCCGCUUUACCACCGAGGAAGAGGUUGACAGAGCAAUUGAGCUCACUGUGCGUCAGGUGAAGAAACUCCGUGACAUGAGCCCACUCUAUGAGAUGGCCAAGGCUGGCAUUGACCUCAAGAGCAUCGAGUGGUCUCAGCACUGAGGCAGUUUGCAUGACAAUUAGUCACUCGUAAGUUCUCUAGAUGUCCACGGGACGCAUACAUAGGUGUAUGGCUCUUAGUUGCCUGCCCUUUGUUAUAUCCUGUUUUCUUUCAAAAGAGAAGCUGCCAUGGUUGCCUUGGACCCAUGUUUCCAUCACCAGGCUUUGUCUGCAACUGGUGAAGACAUUCCUGCAGGUGCAAUCAUCUCGUAGUUCUGUUAUACGGGAAUGGAUUCUUCGGCUGUCGGAAGGCUGAGAUGUAUAUGUAUUCCUGAGGUUUACCUAUGCCUUUUUUAAGGUAUAGUGUGUUGACAAAAAAAUAAGGACACCUCAAAUACUUGGUAUUGUCUGAAAUACAAUUUCAAGGAGCAGUGUCAAUGCUGUAAAUAUAUUUUGGUCUGGUAUAAA